Molecule: microRNA, 21 nt
Filed under: Macaca mulatta (Rhesus monkey)
Lineage: Eukaryota; Metazoa; Chordata; Mammalia; Primates; Cercopithecidae
Description: mml-miR-7202-3p
Source: miRBase by way of RNAcentral
AUUUACACGUGUCGCUCGGGA